RNAcentral lists this ribosomal RNA (274 nucleotides) under uncultured bacterium. Its description in RNAcentral is "partial 16S ribosomal RNA". It matches the Rfam family "Bacterial small subunit ribosomal RNA", at positions 523 to 796 of the family's 1533-position model. The record is from RNAcentral.
ACACGGAGGGCGCAAGCGUUGCUCGGAAUCACUGGGCGUAAAGCGGGUGUAGGCGGUCUAGCAAGUCAGAUGUGAAAGCCCACGGCUCAACCGUGGAAGUGUAUCUGAAACUGCUAGACUUGAGUGCCGGAGAGGGAAGUGGAAUUCCUGGUGUAGGGGUGAAAUCCGUAGAUAUCAGGAGGAACACCGGUGGCGAAGGCGACUUCCUGGACGGCCACUGACGCUGAGACCCGAAAGCGUGGGGAGCAAACAGGAUUAGAAACCCUAGUAGUCC